This 253-nucleotide ribosomal RNA is filed under the name uncultured bacterium. Its description in RNAcentral is "partial 16S ribosomal RNA". It matches the Rfam family "Bacterial small subunit ribosomal RNA", at positions 524 to 776 of the family's 1533-position model. The record is from RNAcentral.
UACGAAGGGGGCUAGCGUUGCUCGGAAUCACUGGGCGUAAAGCGCACGUAGGCGGAUCUUUAAGUCAGGGGUGAAAUCCCAAGGCUCAACCUUGGAACUGCCUUUGAUACUGGGAAUCUCGAGUCCGGAAGAGGUGAGUGGAACUGCGAGUGUAGAGGUGAAAUUCGUAGAUAUUCGCAAGAACACCAGUGGCGAAGGCGGCUCACUGGUCCGGUACUGACGCUGAGGUGUGAAAGCGUGGGGAGCAAACAGG